RNAcentral lists this ribosomal RNA (423 nucleotides) under uncultured bacterium. RNAcentral's name for it is "bacterial SSU rRNA". It matches the Rfam family "Bacterial small subunit ribosomal RNA", at positions 355 to 775 of the family's 1533-position model. The record is from RNAcentral.
UAAGGAAUAUUGGUCAAUGGGCGCAAGCCUGAACCAGCCAUGCCGCGUGCAGGAAGACGGCCCUAUGGGUUGUAAACUGCUUUUGUCAGGGAAUAAACCCCCGCUCGUGAGCGGGGCUGAAGGUACCUGAGGAAUAAGCAUCGGCUAACUCCGUGCCAGCAGCCGCGGUAAUACGGAGGAUGCAAGCGUUAUCCGGAUUCAUUGGGUUUAAAGGGUGCGCAGGCGGAUUGGUAAGUCAGGGGUGAAAUCCCACAGCUCAACUGUGGAACUGCCUUUGAUACUGUCAGUCUAGAGUAUAGUUGAAGUGGGCGGAAUGUGUCAUGUAGCGGUGAAAUGCUUAGAUAUGACACAGAACACCGAUCGCGAAGGCAGCUCGCUAAGCUAUAACUGACGCUCACGCACGAAAGCGUGGGGAUCAGACAG